Molecule: unclassified non-coding RNA, 662 nt
Filed under: Lichtheimia ramosa
Lineage: Eukaryota; Fungi; Mucoromycota; Mucoromycetes; Mucorales; Lichtheimiaceae
Description: sequence contains 18S rRNA gene, ITS1, 5.8S rRNA gene, ITS2, 28S rRNA gene
Rfam family: 5.8S ribosomal RNA (bases 341-494)
Source: RNAcentral
GAUCAUUACUGAGAGGUCUAAAAAACCACUAGUUGGGGGUCUCUUCCCCUCUAGUAGUUCCUCACAGUUUUGUGCAAAGUCGGGUCAACUUGGUUGGCUCUGCCUUGUGCUGUAGAUCUGGUUGUUGGCAUAGAGACCCUCCUUUUAGGAGACUUGUGCCACUACUAAGAUCUAGGCUGCUUGAAAAGAGACGUAUGGACCCUUCUUUCAGGAGACCUAUGUCUCGAGUCAAAGCAAGCAAGGCAAGCCUUUGGGGCUCUAGUAUUAACUAUCCCCAAAGGUGUUUAUUCUUCUCGUGUAAACCAUGAUGUACGAAAAAGUUAGUUGUUAACUUAAAAACAACUCUUGGCAAUGGAUCUCUUGGUUCUCGCAUCGAUGAAGAGCGUAGCAAAGUGCGAUAAUUAUUGCGACUUGCAUUCAUAGCGAAUCAUCGAGUUCUCGAACGCAUCUUGCGCCUAGUAGUCAAUCUACUAGGCACAGUUGUUUCAGUAUCUGCAACUACCAAUCAGUUCAACUUGGUUCUUUGAACCUAAGCGAGCUGGAAAUGGGCUUGUGUUGAUGGCAUUCAGUUGCUGUCAUGGCCUUAAAUACAUUUAGUCCUAGGCAAUUGGCUUUAGUCAUUUGCCGGAUGUAGACUCUAGAGUGCCUGAGGAGCAACGACU